RNAcentral lists this ribosomal RNA (253 nucleotides) under uncultured bacterium. RNAcentral describes it as "partial 16S ribosomal RNA". It matches the Rfam family "Bacterial small subunit ribosomal RNA", at positions 524 to 776 of the family's 1533-position model. The record is from RNAcentral.
UACGUAGGGGGCAAGCGUUGUCCGGAAUCAUUGGGCGUAAAGCGCGCGUAGGCGGCCCGGUAAGUCCGCUGUGAAAGUCCAGGGCUCAACCCUGGAAAGCCGGUGGAUACUGCCGGGCUAGAGUCCGGAAGGGGCGAGUGGAAUUCCUGGUGUAGCGGUGGAAUGCGCAGAUAUCAGGAGGAACACCAAUAGCGAAGGCAGCUCGCUGGGACGGUACUGACGCUGAGACGCGAAAGCGUGGGGAGCGAACAGG